AUUGAACGCUGGCGGCAGGCCUAACACAUGCAAGUCGAACGAGUGGCGGACGGGUGAGUAAUGUCUGGGAAACUGCCCGAUGGAGGGGGAUAACUACUGGAAACGGCAGCUAAUACCGCAUACCAUCGGAUGUGCCCAGAUGGGAUUAGCUAGUAGGUGGGGUAACGGCUCACCUAGGCGCCGAUCCCUAGCUGGUCUUGGAGGAUGACCAGCCGCGCUGGAACUGUGACACGGUCCAGACUCUGACGGACGGCAGCGGGGGGGAAUAUUGCACAAUGGGCGCAAGCCUGAUGGAGCAAUGCCGCAUGUAUGAAUAAGGCCUUCGGGUUGUAAAGUACUUUCAGCGAGGGGGCGUUACUCGCAGAAGAAGCACCGGCUAACUCCGUGCCAGCAGCCGCGGUAAUAC
Molecule: ribosomal RNA, 406 nt
Filed under: uncultured bacterium
Lineage: Bacteria
Description: partial 16S ribosomal RNA
Rfam family: Bacterial small subunit ribosomal RNA
Source: RNAcentral